RNAcentral lists this ribosomal RNA (124 nucleotides) under Carlito syrichta (Philippine tarsier). Lineage: Eukaryota; Metazoa; Chordata; Mammalia; Primates; Tarsiidae. The record is from RNAcentral.
GUGACCAUUCAAUCCCUGAAUGCACCCAAUCUUGUCUGAUCUCAGAAGCUAAGCAGGUCGGGCCCGGUUAGUACUUGGAUGGGAGAAGAGUUAUUCCUUUUGACAUGCUCGACAUUUGUUCUCC